This 666-nucleotide long non-coding RNA is filed under the name Triticum aestivum (bread wheat). RNAcentral describes it as "long non-coding RNA (TAES_LNC010490)". Lineage: Eukaryota; Viridiplantae; Streptophyta; Magnoliopsida; Poales; Poaceae. The record is from RNAcentral.
GUAUGGAAGUACACAUGGUUAUUGGUGAGUGACCUUCUUGGCAUAUGUAGAUUUUCUGCAUUCUGAAUUUUUAGCGCUUGUGAUUCUUGUAGGUUAUGCUUUAUUCAGGUGUAUCACUUGUACUUCCAUUGCUCUACAUUUUACUUAAAUCACAUAUUUGACACCUUGUAAAAUCUGCAGUUAAUUACAAAAUCCCCAGAGUUGCAGAGGUGUUCUAGAUUAUUUCAUUAGUCCAUUUAGAGCAUGUCAAAUGGAGCAUCUUAUUUAGGGAUAAAAUCAACUUUCCUCUGAAGUCUGCUGCUGGUACCGCUCUUUUAUAUGGUGUUCUGAACUGGCCACGCUCUUGUGACAGAUUACUACAUCUAGCUGAAGUUAAUAGCGCAAGGUGCUUGCUUAAGCUGCCAGCAUGUAAGAAAUACUAACAUAUUUGUUACCAUUGUAAUAUGAUAUCUCAAUUAGGGUGCGCGUGUGCGUAUGUGUGUGCCCUUGUAGCUGGUCUAUUUGCAAAUGGAACUGCUCCAAAAAAAUUCAAUUAGAGCUAGCUGAGAGUGACAGAUAACUACAUCUAUGUGAACCUGCAUUGUCCUACAGUCAUACUCUAAGCUAGCUGAUAGUGACAGAGUACUACAUCUAUGUGAACCCGUAUUAUCCUAUUAUGCUUCUCUU